UUCAUGACUGGGGUGAAGUCGUAACAAGGUAGCCGUAGGGGAACCUGCGGCUGGAUCACCUCCUUAAUCGACGA
Molecule: ribosomal RNA, 74 nt
Filed under: Pseudomonas sp. SZ57
Lineage: Bacteria; Pseudomonadati; Pseudomonadota; Gammaproteobacteria; Pseudomonadales; Pseudomonadaceae
Description: partial 16S ribosomal RNA
Rfam family: Bacterial small subunit ribosomal RNA (bases 1-66)
Source: RNAcentral